AUUGCCCUAGUAACGGCGAGUGAAGCGGCAUCAGCUCAAAUUUGAAAUCUGGCUCUUUCAGAGUCCGAGUUGUAAUUUGCAGAGGGCGCUUUGGCGUUGGCAGCGGUCUAAGUUCCCUGGAACAGGACGUCACAGAGGGUGAGAAUCCCGUAUGUGGUCGCUGGCCUUCGCCGUGUAAAGCCCCUUCGACGAGUCGAGUUGUUUGGGAAUGCAGCUCUAAAUGGGAGGUAAAUUUCUUCUAAAGCUAAAUACUGGCCAGAGACCGAUAGCGCACAAGUAGAGUGAUCGAAAGAUGAAAAGCACUUUGGAAAGAGAGUCAAAUAGCACGUGAAAUUGUUGAAAGGGAAGCGCUUGCAGCCAGACUUGCCUGUAGUUGCUCAUCCGGGCUUUUGCCCGGUGCACUCUUCUGCGGGCAGGCCAGCAUCAGUUUGGGCGGUUGGAUAAAGGUCUCUGUCAUGUACCUCCUUUCGGGGAGGCCUUAUAGGGGAGACGACAUGCAACCAGCCUGGACUGAGGUCCGCGCAUCUGCUAGGAUGCUGGCGUAAUGGCUGUAAGCGGCCCGUCUUGAAACACGGACCAAGGAGUCUAACAUCUAUGCGAGUGUUUGGGUGUCAAGCCCGAGCGCGUAAUGAAAGUGAACGGAGGUGGGAUCCCUUAAGGGUGCACCAUCGACCGAUCCUGAUGUCUUCGGAUGGAUUUGAGUAAGAGCAUGGCUGUUGGGACCCGAAAGAUGGUGAACUAUGCUUGAAUAGGGUGAAGCCAGAGGAAACUCUGGUGGAGGCUCGCAGCGGUUCUGACGUGCAAAUCGAUCGUCAAAUUUGGGCAUAGGGGCGAAAGACUAAUCGAACUAUCUAGUAGCUGGUUCCUGCCGAAGUUUCCCUCAGGAUAGCAGUAACGUAUUCAGUUUUAUGAGGUAAAGCGAA
This 923-nucleotide ribosomal RNA is filed under the name Pleosporaceae sp. KUC21234. RNAcentral describes it as "eukaryotic LSU rRNA". It matches the Rfam family "Eukaryotic large subunit ribosomal RNA", at positions 74 to 1017 of the family's 3401-position model. Lineage: Eukaryota; Fungi; Ascomycota; Dothideomycetes; Pleosporales; Pleosporaceae. The record is from RNAcentral.